UACGUAGGAGUGCAAGCGUUGUCCGGAAUUAUUGGGCGUAAAGGGUACGUAGGCGGAUAGUAAAGGUCAAGCGUGAAAGGUGUCGGCUUAACCGACAGACUGCGUUUGAAACUGAUUAUCUUGAGUGUAACGGAGGAGAGUGGAAUUCCUAAGUGUAGUGGUGAAAUACGUAGAUAUUAGGAAGAACACCAGUUGGCGAAGGCGACUCUCUGGGUUAACACUGACGCUGAGGUACGAAAGGCUGGGGGAGCGAACGGGAUUUAGAUACCCCCGUAGU
Molecule: ribosomal RNA, 277 nt
Filed under: uncultured bacterium
Lineage: Bacteria
Description: partial 16S ribosomal RNA
Rfam family: Bacterial small subunit ribosomal RNA
Source: RNAcentral